CCUCAUAUACGCAAACAUGUCAACAUGAGACUAGAAAUGCUUGGCUCCAUCAAGUUAAAAGGAUGAAACGUAGAUUUCGGCCUCAUAUACACAAACAUAACAACAUGAGACUAAAAGUGCAUAGCUAGUUGGUGAGGCAAUAACUUACCAAGGCGAUGAUCAGUAGCUGGUCCGAGAGGGUGAUCAGCCACACUGGGACUGAGACACGGCCCAAACUCCUACAGGAGGCAGCAGUGGGGAAUUUUUGAAGUUUAAACUGUCUCAA
This 265-nucleotide non-coding RNA is filed under the name Daucus carota subsp. sativus. RNAcentral's name for it is "Bacterial small subunit ribosomal RNA". It matches the Rfam family "Bacterial small subunit ribosomal RNA", at positions 137 to 390 of the family's 1533-position model. The record is from Rfam by way of RNAcentral. Lineage: Eukaryota; Viridiplantae; Streptophyta; Magnoliopsida; Apiales; Apiaceae.